ACAACAAUGCAAAAUCUAUAUUGUGCUGUUUCUUGCCGCCUUUCAAAGUCAGUUUAGACAACUAAAGACGACAUUUUGUUUGAGGAAUUAAAUACGGGCAUUCAGUAGCAUUCUGCCUAUGAAAUUUUAGGAAAAAUUGCUUUAUUAAAUCGCAAUGAAGGUGAUAUCAUCCAGCGGCGUCAAGUCAAAGAACAAACUGAAAGAUUGUAUCGACUUAAAUGGUAGCGUAUCUACGUCCAUGUAAUCUGAAAAUAAAGUUGUUUAGUUGCAUUUGAAUGAAGCAAAUGCUGAUGUUCAACAUCCAACGGCUUCAAGUCGAAGUAUAAACUGAAAGAUUGUAUCGAUUUGGAUUUUACGAGAUGGUUAGUAAAACUUAGUAUUAUUGCAAAAUCUGUCAUCAGUCACUAACGAAAAGCUGACAAGCAAGCUCAUUGAAAAUAACUUCACUGUGUCUCACAAAUUUCUCCCAACGUCGAUCGAUACAUUGAGAAAGAAUUACCGGUUACUUAUGCCGUAUGCGGAAGGUUUUGUCAACAACAUCAGGACAAAUGAGAUGAUUUAACGAUGGUGGAGCAAAACGUGAAAGUUAUAAACGACACUGAAAUUAGUAAAACGUAAAUCGUAACUCUCACACCAACCUCUUUUACUGAAUCCAAGUUAGCCGCGAAGGUAAAAAUUUACAAAUCAAGUUGAAAGUCUCGUUUGCACGCUUUGAAAAUUGAAAUUGGUUUGAGAUAAUAAGAAUCACCUC
Molecule: long non-coding RNA, 751 nt
Organism: Xenia sp. Carnegie-2017
Lineage: Eukaryota; Metazoa; Cnidaria; Anthozoa; Malacalcyonacea; Xeniidae
Exons: 3
Source: RefSeq, a predicted model, not a curated record